AUUGAACGCUGGCGGCAGGCCUAACACAUGCAAGUCGAACGAGUGGCGGACGGGUGAGUAAUGUCUGGGAAACUGCCUGAUGGAGGGGGAUAACUACUGGAAACGGUAGCUAAUACCGCAUACCAUCGGAUGUGCCCAGAUGGGAUUAGCUAGUAGGUGGGGUAACGGCUCACCUAGGCGACGAUCCCUAGCUGGUCUGAGAGGAUCACCAGCGACACUGGAACUGAGACACGGUCCAGACUCGUGCGAGAAGCAGCAGUAGUCAAGAUUGCACAGUGGGCGCAAGCCUGAUGCAGCCAUGCCGCGUGUAUGAAGAAUGCCUUCGGGUUGUAAAGUACUUUCAGCGGGGAGGCGUUACCCGCAGAAGAAGCACCGGCGAACUCCGUGCCAGCAGCCGCGGUAAUUC
This 406-nucleotide ribosomal RNA is filed under the name uncultured bacterium. RNAcentral describes it as "partial 16S ribosomal RNA". It matches the Rfam family "Bacterial small subunit ribosomal RNA", at positions 30 to 526 of the family's 1533-position model. The record is from RNAcentral.